Molecule: ribosomal RNA, 312 nt
Filed under: Triticum aestivum (bread wheat)
Lineage: Eukaryota; Viridiplantae; Streptophyta; Magnoliopsida; Poales; Poaceae
Description: partial small subunit ribosomal RNA
Source: RNAcentral
UUGAUCAGGCACUAUUUUGUGGAUCCUCCCGUGUACCCUGAGUCGUACUUCCGGCGCCGGUUUAGGAUGAGCACCGAGUUGUUCAGACGCAUUGCAGAGAAACUAGCGAGUCAUGACCGGUUUUUUCAGCAAAGGAGGAAUGCCGCCGGAGAGCUCGGGCAUAGCACCUUUCAGAAGGUGACAGCCGCUUUGCGUAUGUUGGCAUACGGUAUCCCCGCUGAUCUAGUUGAUAAUCACUUGGCCUUGAAACGAUGGCCGAUCAGGAGACUUGGAUUUGGCAUGCUUUUUUGGAAUGCCUGGAUCUUUGAAUGA